AACUCUUUCAUUUUAAUUCCAAAAAAUAUGGGACUAAUUGCAUUAUUUCCCUUUUUAAUUCUAGUUUUUGAAAAUGAUUUUUAAUAUUUUUUAUUUUUUCAUUUGGUAUUUUUUAUGAAUUUUCUCUUUUCUGUUUAUUUUUAAUUCAUUUUAAAUAGUUUUCAAUAUUCAAAAAGUACCAAAAUAUUUUCUUAAUCUAUUUGAAUGAUGAUGGAUCUAUG
RNAcentral lists this long non-coding RNA (221 nucleotides) under Lathyrus oleraceus (garden pea). Its description in RNAcentral is "Pisum sativum (pea) long non-coding RNA (PSAT_LNC020759)". Lineage: Eukaryota; Viridiplantae; Streptophyta; Magnoliopsida; Fabales; Fabaceae. The record is from RNAcentral.